AUGAAAAUCGUUGGAUGGAACUGCCGGGGGCUCGGGAAUGGCCCGGCAGUUCGUAGUCUCCUCGAUCUGGGGAGGGAGGAGGAUCCUGACAUAGUGUUUCUGGCGGAGACAAAGCUGACAGAGAAGGAACUGGAGAGAUUUAGGUGGACCUUGGGGCUGGCUCACUUAAUAGUAUCAAGCUCCGAGGGGAGAAGUAGAGGAGUGGCUCUGUUUUGGAGACGGGGUGUUGAUCUGACGCUGCGAUCGUUCGGAAGGAGGCACAUUGAUGCAGAUGUGGAGGAGAACGGAAGGGUGUGGCACCUGACGGGGGUUUAUGGGGAGUCAGAGGCGGAGAGGAAAGUGGAGACGUGGAGGGUGAUGAAACUACUUGCUCAACAGCAUCAAGCAGGAAGGCCGUGGCUGUGUAUGGGUGACUUUAAUGAAAUCCUAUCAACGGAUGAAAAAUCGGUGGCGCUGUCAGGCCACAGCGACACAUGGAUAGAUUUAGAGAAGCGUUGGAGGCCUGUGAGCUGUGUGACAUUGGUUAUGAGGGGGACAAAUACACGUGGAGGAACCAUAGCAAGAAGAUCAAGUCUUACAUCUGCGAGAGGUUGGACAGGGCUACGGCUAACGCCUCAUGGUGCGAAUGGUUUCCUGAGUUCACAGUUAUAA
RNAcentral lists this ribosomal RNA (651 nucleotides) under Triticum aestivum (bread wheat). RNAcentral's name for it is "partial small subunit ribosomal RNA". Lineage: Eukaryota; Viridiplantae; Streptophyta; Magnoliopsida; Poales; Poaceae. The record is from RNAcentral.